Molecule: ribosomal RNA, 428 nt
Filed under: Acidobacteriota bacterium
Lineage: Bacteria; Pseudomonadati; Acidobacteriota
Description: Acidobacteria bacterium partial 16S ribosomal RNA
Rfam family: Bacterial small subunit ribosomal RNA
Source: RNAcentral
UGGGGAAUUUUGGACAAUGGGGAAACCCUGAUCCAGCCAUCCCGCGUGUGCGAUGAAGGCCUUCGGGUUGUAAAGCACUUUUUGCAGGAAAGAAACGUCAUGGGUUAAUACCCCGUGAAACUGACGGUACCUGCAGAAUAAGCACCGGCUAACUACGUGCCAGCAGCCGCGGUAAUACGUAGGGUGCAAGCGUUAAUCGGAAUUACUGGGCGUAAAGCGUGCGCAGGCGGUUCGGAAAGAAAGAUGUGAAAUCCCAGAGCUCAACUUUGGAACUGCAUUUUUAACUACCGGGCUAGAGUGUGUCAGAGGGAGGUGGAAUUCCGCGUGUAGCAGUGAAAUGCGUAGAUAUGCGGAGGAACACCGAUGGCGAAGGCAGCCUCCUGGGAUAACACUGACGCUCAUGCACGAAAGCGUGGGGAGCAAACAGG